Molecule: long non-coding RNA, 209 nt
Filed under: Mytilus galloprovincialis (Mediterranean mussel)
Lineage: Eukaryota; Metazoa; Mollusca; Bivalvia; Mytilida; Mytilidae
Source: RNAcentral
CAUUUUUAUCAAUUUUCAAUUUCAUGUGUUGUUUCCGUAUAUGCUAUGUUUCAUUGCUCAUGUGGUGUUUUCGUAUAUUUUAGCCGCUCGUCUUGAGUCUACUCAUUUGAUCCGAUAACACCCCAUAUAGCAAUAAAAUUAUACUUUUAUUGCCAUUCAUAACUCUUAACAGACCGAGUUUUCUACAUCCGACCCAUUAACAGACCAGG